CAACUUCUGAAAUGUUGACCUCGGA
RNAcentral lists this ribosomal RNA (25 nucleotides) under Trichoderma atroviride. RNAcentral's name for it is "partial 28S ribosomal RNA". Lineage: Eukaryota; Fungi; Ascomycota; Sordariomycetes; Hypocreales; Hypocreaceae. The record is from RNAcentral.